Molecule: small nuclear RNA, 64 nt
Organism: Molossus molossus (Pallas's mastiff bat)
Lineage: Eukaryota; Metazoa; Chordata; Mammalia; Chiroptera; Molossidae
Product: U7 small nuclear RNA
Exons: 1
Source: RefSeq, a predicted model, not a curated record
UAGUGCUUACAGCUUCUUUUAAAUUUGUCUAAUAGGUCUUCCAGUUUUUACCAGAAGGACCUAA